CAUUUACAACAUCAAAAUAUUGAGUAGAUUUUAUUUAUCUUUGAUAUUUACUGUCGUAAAAUUAUCAAGUACUUUUUAUCCUGUUUGAUCAUUUUAAUUACUUGGUUGUUUGAAGUUAUAUUACCUAAUUCAUUUAUGUAAAUGUUGCAAAUUCUCUUUUGAUAAAUAUUACCAAAUACUAUUAAUAAUCACACGGCUAAAAUACAAUUCCAUUAUUUAUUCAUAAACCUUUGUCAGGUACCUUACGUAACACCUCAUUUUAUACAGCUAUGUAGAACUGUACAUGAAACAGCAGUCAACAUUUCACAUGACAAAAAAUUAAAUUAAAUCUCAGCAGCAGUAAAUCAAUAAAGAAAAAAGUUUACCUUUACUGAGUGAUCAUUACGCUAUACAGAAAAAAAGCAUAUCACUGGAAAAUCAAAAUGUUUUUGACUCCUGGACGCAUUAAACUAAACAGGGCACAUCAGGUGACAAAACAGAUUGAGGGUUUGACCUGACAAAAUAUGCUGUACUGACAUGAACAACAUUCUAAACAACAACAUCCAUUAACAUAUUUAUAUUAGCAUUCGGUUAAAACAUUAAAGUUUGAGGACAACAUCAAAUCCUCUGUUAAAACCUUUAAAACAAAGGUUAUUUUUAACUUUUUUUUUACCUUGUGAGCAUGAAUGACAGCAGUUGCCUUUGUUGACAACAUUAGGAACAUUUAAGAAAGAAAAUUCCUUUCAGACAGCAACUUCAACUUUAAAGAUGUACUUUUGGUGACAGCUUUAUCCCAUUCAGUUCCAGGAAAAGUUUUUGAAACACCUCAAAGGUGUAGCGCAGAGUCGAGGGAUCUGUCUUCCUGCAGAAGAUACAUCAAACAUACCUGACUCAGUUUAUCCAGAUGGGGCCUCAGCCUGGUCCCCACAACACCUCCCUUGGCUUUCAUCAGGGCAGUAAGCUUUGGUGUAUAGUGGUCUAGUUUGUACAUGAAGCUUUGCUCUAGAGAAAUUGUAGUUAUUCUCCAAAACUCCUCCUUGAUCUGUAGAUCUUGAUCUGAACUGUAGAAUGGAUGAACAAUAAAAACAGCAAUAUUGCGUCAUGCAUACAUGCAGUGUAUUUGUACUUGCCUAAUCACAACGGUGCAGUAUUUGAUUAGUCACUGAACAGCCCAGCGCUCCUGACUCUCUCUGGUCACCUCAUGUCCCAGCCGGCUAAAUACAAAAACAGUCGCCUGUGAAUGAAAACACAUAUUUUUAAGGGCAACUUAUAAUUUAUAGAUUAAUUUACAGCCAUUUUCAUGUUGUGUUUGUCUCUUGACCGUGGCACGCAGCUUCAACGAUACACCGCAACGCGGCCGCCAUGCUAAAAGUUGAGAUGAUGUUU
This is a long non-coding RNA of Gasterosteus aculeatus aculeatus (three-spined stickleback), 1365 nucleotides long. Lineage: Eukaryota; Metazoa; Chordata; Actinopteri; Perciformes; Gasterosteidae. The record is from Ensembl.